Zea mays is the source of this 729-nucleotide long non-coding RNA. RefSeq lists it as uncharacterized. Lineage: Eukaryota; Viridiplantae; Streptophyta; Magnoliopsida; Poales; Poaceae. The transcript is spliced from 2 exons. The record is from RefSeq and is a predicted model, not a curated record.
CCAUUUUUCAGCUAGGAACAUGCUCCAUCUUAUUAUCGAAGCCUGUAUCUCGAGAAAGUUGAUCGAUACAUCUGCUUAUUUAUGGACUGGUUAUGUUGUACCAUCUGGGACUUUAAAAGAUACAGCUUUGCCCCAAGAAUCCCCUUGGUUAAACUUUAUGAAAGGGUCUCGACUUUCAGGACCCCUUAUUGAUGCUCUGGUCGCAUCUCCUGCUUCAAGUUCAAGCUCUUCAAGGUGAGGUCUGUUCAGUUUGGCCAGAAAGGCAUCCCCUACCUGAACACCUACGACGGCCGCACCAUCCGCUACCCCGACCCGCUCAUCAAGGCCAACGACACCAUCAAGAUCGAUCUAAAGACCAACAAGAUCAUGGACUUCUUCAAGUUUGACGUCGGCAACGUGGUCAUGGUGACCGGCGGGAGGAACACCGGGCGUGUAGGAGUGAUCAAGAACUAGGAGAAGCACAAGGGCAGCUUCGAGGUCAUCGACGUGCUGCUUGGAGCUUUUUGCAUGCUAUGUCUAGUUUUCUCCUAUUUGUUGUACAGGAAAACAUAGAAUGGAAUUCAAAUUUGGUGGUCGCAAAAGUGUGGAGACUAGAAUUCAUAUAAAGUUAGGCUUAACAUUAGUGCAAAUAGUUGUAUUUUAGUUUAGAUUUAGAGUACACUUAUGUAUGCCUUGUUUGACAAUACUUAUUUAUGAUAUAUUGAAUGGUACUUAUUUAUAUUAUAUUAA